UACAGAGGGUGCGAGCGUUGUUCGGAAUUACUGGGCGUAAAGCGCGCGCAGGCGGCCCUUUAAGUCCGUCGGUGAAAGACCGGGGCUCAACCCCGUGUCAGCCAUGGAUACUGGAGGGCUGGAGACAGGUAGAGGCAAGCGGAAUUCCGGGUGUAGCGGUGAAAUGCGUAGAUAUCAGGAGGAACACCUGCGGUGUAGACGGCUUACUGGACCAUAACUGACGCUGAGGCACGAAAGCGUGGGUAGCAAACAGG
Molecule: ribosomal RNA, 254 nt
Filed under: uncultured bacterium
Lineage: Bacteria
Description: partial 16S ribosomal RNA
Rfam family: Bacterial small subunit ribosomal RNA
Source: RNAcentral